This 70-nucleotide transfer RNA is filed under the name Sphaerodactylus townsendi. Its description in RNAcentral is "tRNA-Ala". It matches the Rfam family "tRNA". From Rfam's summary of the family: Transfer RNA (tRNA) molecules are approximately 80 nucleotides in length. Their secondary structure includes four short double-helical elements and three loops (D, anti-codon, and T loops). Further hydrogen bonds mediate the characteristic L-shaped molecular structure. tRNAs have two regions of fundamental functional importance: the anti-codon, which is responsible for specific mRNA codon recognition, and the 3' end, to which the tRNAs corresponding amino acid is attached (by aminoacyl-tRNA synthetases). tRNAs cope with the degeneracy of the genetic code in two manners: having more than one tRNA (with a specific anti-codon) for a particular amino acid; and 'wobble' base-pairing, i.e. permitting non-standard base-pairing at the 3rd anti-codon position. Lineage: Eukaryota; Metazoa; Chordata; Lepidosauria; Squamata; Sphaerodactylidae. The record is from RNAcentral.
GCUGUGGCUCAGUGGAAGAGCAUCUGCUUGGCAUGCAAGAAAGUCCCAGGUUCAAUCCCAGGCAUCUCCC